This is a non-coding RNA of Rattus norvegicus (Norway rat), 574 nucleotides long. The record is from the annotation of a RefSeq genome assembly. NCBI's taxonomy places the organism in Eukaryota, Metazoa, Chordata, Mammalia, Rodentia, Muridae.
AGAUAAUUUGCAUAUUUGAGGAACACAGCCCACUGAACUAUGCCUUCUUAUUAGACAAUCUGGACACUUUUGUAUUCAGUCCCAGACAGGACACAGGACAGUCAAGAUGGCUCCAGUACAACUUCUAGGGCUUUUGCUGCUCUGCCUCCGAGCCAUGAGAUGUGACAUCCAGAUGACCCAGUCUCCUUCACUCCUGUCAGCAUCUGUGGGAGACAGAGUCACUCUCAGCUGCAAAGCAAGUCAGAAUAUUUACAAGUACUUAAACUGGUAUCAGCAAAAGCUUGGAGAAGCUCCCAAACUCCUGAUAUAUUAUACAAACAGUUUGCAAACGGGCAUCCCAUCAAGGUUCAGUGGCAGUGGAUCUGGUACUGAUUUCACACUUACCAUCAGCAGCCUGCAGCCUGAAGAUGUUGCCAUAUAUUUCUGCUUUCAGUACAGCAGUGGGCCCCACGGUGAUACAAACCAUAACAUAAACCACCCAGAGAUGCAGAUGUGUGAGGUUGGGUUUUCACAGCUGUUUUUUUUUUUUUUUUUUUGGUUCUUUCUAUUACUGACAUAAUGUUUCAGAUGUAGC